UCUUCGAUGGGGGCAGCCUGAAGCCGCCUGCCGCGUGAGUGGAUAGAAGGUCUUACGAUUGUAAAAUUCUUUUCCGGGGACGAUACUGACGGUCCCCGGCAGAACAAGCCCCGGCUGACCUCGUGCCAUCAGCCGCGGUUAUCCAAAUGGCGCCAGCCUUUCUAAUAAAUUACGGGGCGUAAAGGGCUCGUAAUUACUGAGUUUAAUGAGAGGUGAAAGCCCUAGGCUCAACCUUGGAACUGCCUUUCAUACUGGCUAGCUUGAGUACCGGGGAAGUGAGUGGAACUCCUGGUGUAGAGGUGAAAUUAAUUCAUAUUCGGAAGAACACCUGUGGCGAAGGCGACUCAAAUACCCCGUUACUGACGCUCAGGCGCGAAU
Molecule: ribosomal RNA, 378 nt
Filed under: uncultured bacterium
Lineage: Bacteria
Description: bacterial SSU rRNA
Rfam family: Bacterial small subunit ribosomal RNA
Source: RNAcentral